UAAGUAAAAAUUAUAAUAAUUAUGAUGGGUAAUCAUAAGUAGUUUUUUAUGACGUAUUUUAUUUAACUACUUAUUUAAACAUAAGUUUCAUUUAAAUUGGUACUUACGCAUGUGAAUAUUACUUGGCGACCUAUCAGGAACUUGGAAUAAUUUAUUGUUUUAUCAGUUCUAUACAAUUUUUGUUCAAAUGUUUAUUAAUUGGCAAUAUUAUAGAUCUAUUAUGCAUUAUUCAUAAGUUUAUAAUGCAUAGUUUGUUUUAAAAUCAAGUUGCAUUGUAACUAUACAGCUAUUGGCUCCAAUUAAUCCAGAAUAUUUGUUGCAUACUAAUAUUCUAAGAUAAUUAAAUGUACUAAGAAUAUUCAACGGACAAAUGAUUCGAAGAAUAUACAAAUUAUAUACAAUUGUAUUCAGACAAAUUGAGAAUAAUAGUUUAGUUUUUAAACUAAAAAAUACAGCUAAUUGGAUUUUAAUGUUUUAACAUGGGAUAACAUCAAUUAUAGAUAAUCUAGUUAAUUUCAAAGAAGUGUGAAAUAAUCAAGCUUGCCCAACUAUGUUUCUGAGGAAAACUGUAACCUACUAAUAAAUAAUAUGUAAAGAAAAUUAAAA
This is a long non-coding RNA of Rhopalosiphum maidis (corn leaf aphid), 606 nucleotides long. RefSeq lists it as uncharacterized. The record is from RefSeq and is a predicted model, not a curated record. NCBI's taxonomy places the organism in Eukaryota, Metazoa, Arthropoda, Insecta, Hemiptera, Aphididae. The transcript has 3 exons.